This 908-nucleotide ribosomal RNA is filed under the name Diplocarpon rosae. RNAcentral describes it as "LSU rRNA". It matches the Rfam family "Eukaryotic large subunit ribosomal RNA", at positions 38 to 963 of the family's 3401-position model. The record is from RNAcentral. Lineage: Eukaryota; Fungi; Ascomycota; Leotiomycetes; Helotiales; Drepanopezizaceae.
GCAUAUCAAUAAGCGGAGGAAAAGAAACCAACCGGGAUUACCUCAGUAACGGCGAGUGAAGCGGUAACAGCUCAAAUUUGAAAGCUGGCCCCCCCGGGGCCCGCGUUGUAAUUUGCAGAAGAUGCUUCGGGCGCCGCCCCAGUCUAAGUUCCUUGGAACAGGACGUCAUAGAGGGUGAGAAUCCCGUAUGUGACUGGGCGCGCGCGCCCGUGUGAAGCUCUUUCGACGAGUCGAGUUGUUUGGGAAUGCAGCUCUAAAUGGGUGGUAUAUUUCAUCUAAAGCUAAAUACUGGCCAGAGACCGAUAGCGCACAAGUAGAGUGAUCGAAAGAUGAAAAGCACUUUGGAAAGAGAGUUAAACAGUACGUGAAAUUGUUGAAAGGGAAGCGCUUGCACCCAGACUUGCGCGUGGGUGCUCACCUGGGCUUCUGCCCGGGGCACUCGCCCGCGCGCAGGCCAGCAUCGGUUCCGGUGGUGGGAUAAAGGCCUUGGGAACGUAGCUCCCCUCGGGGAGUGUUAUAGCCCUCGGUGCAAUGCCGCCUACUGGGACCGAGGACCGCGCUCCGGCUAGGAUGCUGGCGUAAUGGUUGCAAGCGACCCGUCUUGAAACACGGACCAAGGAGUCUAACAUCUAUGCGAGUGUUUGGGUGUCAAACCCAUCCGCGCAAUGAAAGUGAACGGAGGUGAGACCCCUUCAGGGUGCAUCAUCGACCGAUCCUGAUGUCUUCGGAUGGAUUUGAGUAAGAGCAUAGCUGUUGGGACCCGAAAGAUGGUGAACUAUGCGUGAAUAGGGUGAAGCCAGAGGAAACUCUGGUGGAGGCUCGCAGCGGUUCUGACGUGCAAAUCGAUCGUCAAAUUUGCGUAUAGGGGCGAAAGACUAAUCGAACCAUCUAGUAGCUGGUUCCUGCGA